UCCAGGGCAAUGUCAGCAGAGGCAAACAAUCGCUGCACGAUGCCAAACCUCUCUGUGUCUCUCAGAGGAGCCAAGGUGGGGUUGUGAAAAUCACACACGCUGUCAUCAGACAGAGCAUGGAGCUGAAAUGACAAACAAAUUCCCUUCAAAAUGGCCCAGAAAACCCCAAGUUAAAUACCUUUUAAAGAAAUUCCCAAAUAAAACAGGAAAACCAUUAGAUGGAACAUAAAGAUAUGUGUUCCAUCAUGCCAAGACUUUAGGCCUGUUUUUCUCUUCCUUGCCUGUAUUCCUGAGUCCACACACUUGUGCCUAGAUCCAUUAGCCCAGUAAGUUGGAUCAGCAUGAGCCCUUCAUCCACAUGUAAGGGUUUAUCUGCCUCCACUGAUAAUGUGUACAUUUCUAUGGAAUGCAUUAUGGUAAUUCAGUACAUGUAUAGAAUCUAUAGUAAUAAAUGAUGGCAACAAGAGUUUUUGCCUUCACAU
This 482-nucleotide long non-coding RNA is filed under the name Mus musculus (house mouse). Its description in RNAcentral is "long non-coding RNA chr6:50208084-50208566". The record is from RNAcentral. Lineage: Eukaryota; Metazoa; Chordata; Mammalia; Rodentia; Muridae.